UAUGGAUUAAGUCAGGUGUCAUGGUCUUUAUGGAAUGGGAUAUUAUGCGCUACAUUCUCCUGUACAAUAUAUACAGUAAAUUAGGAGGCGGAGAUUCUCUGAAAUGGGAAUCUUAAAGUAGGAUUUGAUAGUAAUCGGGAAGUAGAGCGUUCCGGUGAAUUCUCACCCAGUGUUAGCACAAAUCGCCCGUCGUCCCCUUCAAGUUAAGGAUACGAGACGCCCCGCCGAAGGCGGGGUUAUCCCUCCUUUUCGAGAAUGGGUAAGUCGUAACAUAGUAAGGGUAAGGGAACUUGUUCUUG
RNAcentral lists this ribosomal RNA (299 nucleotides) under Chelidonisis aurantiaca mexicana. Its description in RNAcentral is "partial 12S ribosomal RNA". It matches the Rfam family "Bacterial small subunit ribosomal RNA", at positions 1174 to 1520 of the family's 1533-position model. Lineage: Eukaryota; Metazoa; Cnidaria; Anthozoa; Scleralcyonacea; Chelidonisididae. The record is from RNAcentral.